AUUGAACGCUGGCGGCAGGCUUAACACAUGCAAGUCGAGCGGGGGAAGGUAGCUUGCUACCGGACCUAGCGGCGGACGGGUGAGUAAUGCUUAGGAAUCUGCCUAUUAGUGGGGGACAACAUCUCGAAAGGGAUGCUAAUACCGCAUACGUCCUACGGGAGAAAGCAGGGGAUCUUCGGACGUUGCGCUAAUAGAUGAGCCUAAGUCGGAUUAGCGAGUUGGUGGGGUAAAGGCCUACCAAGGCGACGACCUGUAGCGGGUCUGAGAGGAGGAGCCGACACACUGGGACUGGGACACGGCCCAGACACCUACGGGAGGCAGCGGUGGGGAAUAUUGGACAAUGGGGGGAACGCAGAUCCAGCCAUGCCGCGUGUGUGAAGGAGGCCUUAUGGUUGUAAAGCACUUUACGCGAGGAGGAGGCUACUCUUGUUAAUACCUAGGGAUAGUGGACGUUACUCGCAAAAGAAGGACCGGCUAACUCUGUGCCAGCCGCCGCCGUAA
This 501-nucleotide ribosomal RNA is filed under the name uncultured bacterium. Its description in RNAcentral is "partial 16S ribosomal RNA". It matches the Rfam family "Bacterial small subunit ribosomal RNA", at positions 29 to 523 of the family's 1533-position model. The record is from RNAcentral.